AUGAUUCUGAAUUACCCACCUGAACUAAUGAAAUGUAGACAUGGACAGCACACUCAAGAUAUUCAGAAUUUAGAGAUGGGAUCUCCUAUGUUGCCCAGCUGGAGUACAGUGGCUAUUCACAGGCCAGAUCAUAGCACUCUGUUGCCUUGAACUCCUGUCCUCAAGAAAUCCUUCCACCUCAGCUCUGGAGAAGCUAAGAUUACAGAUAUGCACUACCAUGCCCAGCCCCAGCAUUAGGUCACUUUUUGACCAACAGCAUUCAAAGGUAUGAUUGGAUGGAACCCUUAAGGUUAAGCCUCAGGCAUUAUUCCUAAGGCUAUAAGUCAUAGGUCCUGCUAGAGUUAGAAUGCUUUUAAACUAACGUAUGUGAAUCAUCUGGGGAUUUUGUUUAAAUGGAGAUUCUGACACAGUAAGUCCAAAGUGGAGCCUGGGAUUUUGCAUUUCUGACAAACUCCCAGGUGAUGCUGAUGCUGUUGGAACUUGGACCCAAUUUGAGUUGCAAAGUUCUAUAGUUAAUUUAAACAAUCCAUGUCUUGAUCUCUAAUUUUAUCAAGAAAAAAACCCAUUUCAUCACUCAAGUUAGCAAGGUAUGUCACCAGUUCCAUCAUCAAAAACCCAUUUUAGGUAUACAGCAACCUCUUAGCAAAAUAUUGGUUAUUGAUCAAAGACUAAACUUUCAGAAGAGCUCUGUUAGUCAGGGCUCAAGUAUAACCCUCUCUGAGACCAUACUGCAGCUAGAUUACAUCAAGACUGCACAUUUGUGAUUAACAUGCCAGCUGACCACUGCUCAUGUAUGCUUUUUAAAUAGGAAUUUGGGUGUUGGUUUACUACAAGUAAUGUAUAUGAACAAUAUGUCACAUUGCUUAUACCAAGGAGUUUCAAAGUAAAUUUUAGUCAUCGUGACAUGUUUGCCUUUCACUUUUUAACAACCAAUAUACGCAGUCCAUGUAAUUUUACGGUUGUGUGAUCAUUUGAUACUAAGAUGAGGGAGAACACAAAUACUAAAAAGUUGACCUGAAAUGGUUCAUGGAGAUAUAUAGAAUAUAGAGGUGACCUACUAAUACAUGUCCUCCAAAUUAGCAAUGAAAGUCUUAAUGGUCAUCUAAAUUCUCACUGGUAAUAAUGAGAGAAGCUAUUUUGUGCUUUAAAAAUAUAUUCUUUGAAGGCACGAGGGUGUGUCUAGAACAAGGCUUCCAUAGUAAUGAUAGGCUUUUGGACCUAAUAAUUCAAAGAUUGUAUAAGCCAGCAUCAAUAAUUUUUAGAACAUGAUUUAGAAUUAGUGUUGGAAAAUAUGAUUGAAGAGGUUCGACAUAUUUGGAUUCCUAUUAGUCAUUUAAUAAUUUUGUCUUUGUGUUUUUAUUUGUAAUGUAACAAAGCACCAUCAUUGUGUUGUUGAG
Molecule: long non-coding RNA, 1397 nt
Filed under: Callithrix jacchus (white-tufted-ear marmoset)
Lineage: Eukaryota; Metazoa; Chordata; Mammalia; Primates; Cebidae
Description: lncRNA (ENSCJAG00000075279.1)
Source: RNAcentral